CCCAUCAUACAAACAGUUCAUGGAGUACAGAAGCUCAAAGUCAAAAGAACGGCAGUCUUUUAACUAUGGGCCAAAAGGCAGAUUUAAGCCUAAAGAAAGAAAACACGUCCAGAUAAAUGUAGGACUGAUGGUGCCACAUGAAACUGAUGGAACCGAUUUAAAACCUCUAAGAGGGAAAACACUCCCGUUAUUUACAGACCCAGAGGUAGCAGCACCUGAUCUACUGAAACAAGCUGUACAGAAAAUUUGAACAUUUAAUAAGGACAUGCACGAAGGACCAUACAAUGAAGAAAUAUGGAAAGCUUUGCAAGAGAUUGAAAAUGCUGCUUCAUUGAAUGCUCUGUGGCUACUGUGGAAGAAAAGAGAGAAAUUGUUUCUGACUUCCUCCAGUGGUAUAUUAUUGACUGUAACUCAUCUGUAAUUGACAGCCUGAUUCAGGGAGGGUCUUUCAAGCCUGAAGUUUUUGAAUGCACUAUAGCAAUACCCUACUUUGCUGGCCCCUGUCCUGUGCCAAUCUGAAAAGCAACUCACUGCUUUUGAUCUGGAGAUGCUCUUUAAACCUGACCUCAGUCCUUCGGGAAGUAGUCGAAGACUUAAAGAAAAUAAAACCAUGGGCUACUGGGCAAACUAUCUCCUUGAUUGUGAAGAAGGCCAGGCUGCUGUGUCGGUGGAAGAUGUUUUGAUGUUUGCUACUGGGCUGUCUUCACUUCCCCCAUCUGGCUUGUAACCACUGCCACAAAUAGAGUUCCUCGAUGACUCUGUGUUCCCUAUGGCAAAUACAUGUGCAAACUCCUUGAAAUUACCACUCCUGGACUCAUACACUUUGUUUAAGUCACAAUGGACUUUGGAAUUUAAAAUAGUCCAGGAUUUGGCUGUUUUUAAGCUAAAUUCUGGAUGAAUUUUAAGACUCUCAAAAGGUUGUUGUUGAAGGGACAGUUCACCGAAAAAUGAAAGUUCUGU
Long non-coding RNA from Paramisgurnus dabryanus, 960 nucleotides. RefSeq lists it as uncharacterized. The record is from RefSeq and is a predicted model, not a curated record. NCBI's taxonomy places the organism in Eukaryota, Metazoa, Chordata, Actinopteri, Cypriniformes, Cobitidae.